Molecule: ribosomal RNA, 378 nt
Filed under: uncultured bacterium
Lineage: Bacteria
Description: bacterial SSU rRNA
Rfam family: Bacterial small subunit ribosomal RNA
Source: RNAcentral
GUAUGGUGCAAGCGUUAUCCGGAUUUACUGGGUGUAAAGGGAGCGUAGACGGCUGUGUAAGUCUGAAGUGAAAGCCCGGGGCUCAACCCCGGGACUGCUUUGGAAACUAUGCAGCUAGAGUGUCGGAGAGGUAAGUGGAAUUCCCAGUGUAGCGGUGAAAUGCGUAGAUAUUGGGAGGAACACCAGUGGCGAAGGCGGCUUACUGGACGAUGACUGACGUUGAGGCUCGAAAGCGUGGGGAGCAAACAGGAUUAGAUACCCUGGUAGUCCACGCCGUAAACGAUGACUACUAGGUGUCGGGGAGCAAAGCUCUUCGGUGCCGCAGCAAACGCAAUAAGUAGUCCACCUGGGGAGUACGUUCGCAAGAAUGAAACUCAA